UAGGGAAUAUUGGUAAUGGGCGAAAGCCUGAACCAGCAACGCCGCGUGUGCGAUGAAGGCCUUCGGGUUGUAAAGCACUUUUUGAGGGGAUGAGGAAGGACAGUACCCUCAGAAUAAGUCUCGGCUAACUACGUGCCAGCAGCCGCGGUAACACGUAGGAGACUAGCGUUAUCCGGAUUUACUGGGCGUAAAGCGCGUGCAGGUGGCUCGGAAAGUUCGAUGUGAAAGCUCCCGGCUUAACUGGGAGAGGUCGUUGAAUAUUUUCGGGCUAGAGAAUGGGAGAGGGAGGCGGAAUUCCGGGUGUAGUGGUGAAAUGCGUAGAUAUCCGGAGGAACACCAGUGGCGAAAGCGGCCUCCUGGCCCAUUACUGACACUCAGACGCGAAAGCUAGGGUAGCAAACGG
This 403-nucleotide ribosomal RNA is filed under the name uncultured bacterium. RNAcentral describes it as "bacterial SSU rRNA". It matches the Rfam family "Bacterial small subunit ribosomal RNA", at positions 355 to 775 of the family's 1533-position model. The record is from RNAcentral.